RNAcentral lists this ribosomal RNA (436 nucleotides) under uncultured bacterium. RNAcentral describes it as "bacterial SSU rRNA". It matches the Rfam family "Bacterial small subunit ribosomal RNA", at positions 84 to 530 of the family's 1533-position model. The record is from RNAcentral.
CGAGGUUAUUAGUGGCGAACGGGUGAUACACGUGAGUAACCUGCCUUUCCGUUCGGGAUAAGCCUGGGAAACUGGGUCUAAUACCGGAUAUUCCGUUUUUGCCGCAUGGUGUUCUUUGGGAAAGUGUUUAUCUGCCGAGGGAUGGACUCGCGGCCUAUCAGCUUGUUGGUGAGGUAAUGGCUCACCAAAGCGAUGACGGGUAGCCGGCCUGAGAGUGGCGACCGGCCACACUGGGACUGAGACACGGCCCAGACUCCUACGGGAGUGCAGCAGUGAGGAAUAUUGCACAAUGGGGGCAACCCUGAUGCAGCGACGCCGCGUGGAGGAUGACGGCCUUCGGGUUGUAAACUCCUUUCAGUAGGGAAGAAGCUUUUGUGACGGUACCUACAGAAGAAGCACCGGCUAACUACGUGCCAGCAGCCGCGGUAAUACGUAG